UACGAAGGGGGCUAGCGUUGUUCGGAAUUACUGGGCGUAAAGCGCACGUAGGCGGAUGUUUAAGUUAGGGGUGAAAUCCCAGGGCUCAACCCUGGAACUGCCUCUAAUACUGGGCAUCUAGAGUCCGAGAGAGGUGAGCGGAAUUCCGAGUGUAGAGGUGAAAUUCGUAGAUAUUCGGAGGAACACCAGUGGCGAAGGCGGCUCACUGGCUCGGUACUGACGCUGAGGUGCGAAAGCGUGGGGAGCAAACAGG
This 253-nucleotide ribosomal RNA is filed under the name uncultured bacterium. RNAcentral describes it as "partial 16S ribosomal RNA". It matches the Rfam family "Bacterial small subunit ribosomal RNA", at positions 524 to 776 of the family's 1533-position model. The record is from RNAcentral.